Molecule: non-coding RNA, 90 nt
Organism: Camelina sativa (false flax)
Lineage: Eukaryota; Viridiplantae; Streptophyta; Magnoliopsida; Brassicales; Brassicaceae
Source: RefSeq, a predicted model, not a curated record
CGAUCCAAAGUACAACGAUCAGCAGCUGCGUGCCACGGUGAGCCUGCCUAAGGGAACUGGCCAGACUGUUAUAGUGGCUGUUCUUGCACA